GGGGUGCAUUGGUUCAAACACUUGUUCUCCAGGAGUGCCACACCACUCUGUUUGUUUGUUUUGAAUUUUCAUUGCUACAUAAACCUGCACUAGUUAUGCUGCCAAAAGUGUCGUCUUAAAUGCUGGAAACUGUUGGCAACAUAACUAGUGCAGGUGUCUGUAGUAGUUACAGAGACAUGUCCUGCACUAGUUAUAGUGGAAAAUUGUUUUUUUGGAUUAC
This is a non-coding RNA of Pelobates cultripes (western spadefoot toad), 220 nucleotides long. Lineage: Eukaryota; Metazoa; Chordata; Amphibia; Anura; Pelobatidae. The record is from the annotation of a GenBank genome assembly.